RNAcentral lists this transfer RNA (71 nucleotides) under Loxodonta africana (African savanna elephant). It matches the Rfam family "tRNA". Rfam says of the family: Transfer RNA (tRNA) molecules are approximately 80 nucleotides in length. Their secondary structure includes four short double-helical elements and three loops (D, anti-codon, and T loops). Lineage: Eukaryota; Metazoa; Chordata; Mammalia; Proboscidea; Elephantidae. The record is from Rfam by way of RNAcentral.
GCAGUGGUGGCUCAGGGGUAGAGUUCUCGCUUUCCACACAGAAGGCCCAAGUUCAAUUCCUGGCCAAUGCG